CCUACGGGAGGCAGCAGUGGGGAAUUUUCCGCAAUGGGCGCAAGCCUGACGGAGCAAGACCGCGUGAGGGAGGAAGGCUCUUGGGUUGUAAACCUCUUUUAUCAGGGAAGAAGAUCUGACGGUACCUGAUGAAUCAGCAUCGGCUAACUCCGUGCCAGCAGCCGCGGUAAUACGGAGGAUGCAAGCGUUAUCCGGAUUUAUUGGGCGUAAAGCGUCCGCAGGUGGUUAUUCAAGUCUGCUGUUAAAGCGCGAGGCUUAACUUCGUACAGGCAGUGGAAACUGGAUGACUGGAGUAUGGUAGGGGUAGCGGGAAUUCCCAGUGUAGCGGUGAAAUGCGUAGAUAUUGGGAAGAACACCAGCGGCGAAAGCGCGCUACUGGGCCAUUACUGACACUCAUGGACGAAAGCUAGGGGAGCGAAAGGGAUUAGAUACCCCUGUAGUCCUAGCUGUAAACGAUGGGUACUAGGUGUUGACCGUAUCGACCCGGUCAGUGCCGUAGCUAACGCGUUAAGUACCCGCCUGGGGAGUAUGCACGCAAGUGUGAACUUAAAGGAAUUGACGGCGNGAGACGNGCGAGACGACGACGAGGAGAGG
Molecule: ribosomal RNA, 594 nt
Filed under: uncultured bacterium
Lineage: Bacteria
Description: bacterial SSU rRNA
Rfam family: Bacterial small subunit ribosomal RNA
Source: RNAcentral